Molecule: ribosomal RNA, 261 nt
Filed under: uncultured prokaryote
Description: partial 16S ribosomal RNA
Rfam family: Bacterial small subunit ribosomal RNA
Source: RNAcentral
UACGUAGGGUCCGAGCGUUGUCCGGAAUUAUUGGGCGUAAAGAGCUCGUAGGCGGUAUGUCGCGUCUGCUGUGAAAGACCGGGGCUUAACUUCGGUUUUGCAGUGGAUACGGGCAUGCUUGAGGUAGGUAGGGGAGACUGGAAUUCCUGGUGUAGCGGUGAAAUGCGCAGAUAUCAGGAGGAACACCAAUGGCGAAGGCAGGUCUCUGGGCAGUUACUGACGCUGAGGAGCGAAAGCAUGGGUAGCGAACAGGAUUAGAUA